Molecule: unclassified non-coding RNA, 236 nt
Filed under: Hevea brasiliensis (rubber tree)
Lineage: Eukaryota; Viridiplantae; Streptophyta; Magnoliopsida; Malpighiales; Euphorbiaceae
Source: RNAcentral
AUUUUUUUGUGAGUCAUUUUCCCUAGUUGUUCAAUUUUUUUUUUAUAGUAAACUGACUUCAUUAGCACUAAACUUUAAUUCCAUCCCCUGCAGGUUCAAAAAUGGCUCUUUUAGCUAUCCUUUUAAUGGGAAUUUCCCUCAUGUUUCAAUCAGCCCAUGGCUAUGGUGGUUGGAUCAAUGCACAUGCCACUUUUUACGGUGGAGGAGAUGCUUCUGGAACUAUGGGUGGUGCUUGU